UGGACACACUCUGGAGAGUCUCAUAAUAAGAGCGCCGAAGGUGUAAGGGUCGCAAGAUCCCAAUCUCUCAGGCAAAAGGACAGAGAAAAAACG
This is a regulatory RNA element of Dialister sp. CAG:486, 93 nucleotides long. It matches the Rfam family "Glycine riboswitch aptamer". Rfam says of the family: This family represents the bacterial glycine riboswitch. Glycine riboswitches usually consist of two metabolite-binding aptamers domains with similar structures in tandem. The record is from Rfam. Lineage: Bacteria; Bacillati; Bacillota; Negativicutes; Veillonellales; Veillonellaceae.